RNAcentral lists this ribosomal RNA (462 nucleotides) under uncultured bacterium. RNAcentral describes it as "bacterial SSU rRNA". It matches the Rfam family "Bacterial small subunit ribosomal RNA", at positions 28 to 519 of the family's 1533-position model. The record is from RNAcentral.
GAUGAACGCUGGCGGCGUGCCUAACACAUGCAAGUCGAGCGAUUCCUUCGGGGAGAGCGGCGGACGGGUGAGUAACGCGUGGGUAACCUGCCCUGUACACACGGAUAACAUACCGAAAGGUAUGCUAAUACGGGAUAAUAUAUGAAAGUUGCAUAACUUUUAUAUCGAAGCUUUUGCGGUACAGGAUGGACCCGCGUCUGAUUAGCUAGUUGGUAAGGUAACGGCUUACCAAGGCAACGAUCAGUAGCCGACCUGAGAGGGUGAUCGGACACACUGGAACUGAGACACGGUCCAGACUCCUACGGGAGGCAGCAGUGGGGAAUAUUGCACAAUGGGCGAAAGCCUGAUGCAGCAACGCCGCGUGAGCGAUGAAGGCCUUCGGGUCGUAAAGCUCUGUCCUCAAGGAAGAUAAUGACGGUACUUGAGGAGGAAGCCCCGGCUAACUACGUGCCAGCAGCCGCU